ACGGGAGGCAGCAGUGGGGAAUCUUGCGCAAUGGGCGAAAGCCUGACGCAGCGACGCCGCGUGCGGGAAGAAGGCCUUCGGGUUGUAAACCGCUUUCAGGAGGGACGAAGCCACUCGGGUGAAUAGCCCAGAGGGUGACGGUACUUCCAGAAGAAGCCCCGGCUAACUACGUGCCAGCAGCCGCGGUAAUACGUAGGGGGCAAGCGUUGUCCGGAUUUAUUGGGCGUAAAGAGCGUGUAGGCGGUCAGGUAGGUCGGUUGUGAAAACUGGAGGCUCAACCUUCAGAGGUCGACCGAAACCCCCUGGCUAGAGUCCGGGAGAGGAGAGUGGAAUUCCUGGUGUAGCGGUGAAAUGCGCAGAUAUCAGGAAGAACACCCGUGGCGAAAGCGGCUCUCUGGAACGGUACUGACGCUGAGACGCGAAAGCGUGGGGAGCGAACAGGAUUAGAUACCCUGGUA
RNAcentral lists this ribosomal RNA (458 nucleotides) under uncultured Gaiellales bacterium. Its description in RNAcentral is "bacterial SSU rRNA". It matches the Rfam family "Bacterial small subunit ribosomal RNA", at positions 341 to 792 of the family's 1533-position model. Lineage: Bacteria; Bacillati; Actinomycetota; Thermoleophilia; Gaiellales. The record is from RNAcentral.